CAAAUCAGAAAAAUGUUGGAAAUGUAACCAGAUAUCGGGUUCAUAUUAUCACAUGUGGCGGACAUG
Non-coding RNA from Notechis scutatus (mainland tiger snake), 66 nucleotides. NCBI's taxonomy places the organism in Eukaryota, Metazoa, Chordata, Lepidosauria, Squamata, Elapidae. The record is from RefSeq and is a predicted model, not a curated record.